ACUUGAAUCCUGACUUUUGUUCCUGUUCUUACUGCAAAGGCUCAGUUCUCAGGUUCAGUCACCAACAGUCAGGGAGUGGAUGCAGGGACACAAACCCUGGCUGCACAUUUUUAUGCAAGUUCUAACUCAAACAAGAAGACAGAGCUAAAAGACCUUCCUGAUUCAAUCAAACAUCUCCUUCCAGCCAGCAAGAGUAACAGGCUUUGGCUGUUGGAUGGCCGGGAGAGUUCUCCAAUAUUCAUGGUUUUGCCUGAGCAUCUGUAAAAGGAGCUCCACAGGAUGGAAAGCUUUGUUUUUCAGAGCAGCCAGGGAGCCCAGACCUGUUAAAGUCAGCAGAGGUGGAUCUGGAGAGACCCAGUGUAAAACCCAGCACCUGAGGAGAGCAGAGAUGAGCCUUGUCCUGGGAACACCUCCUGGCUGGUGAUGGUGGCUCCCCUACCAGGCACCUGGAUGCCAAGAGGAACCAUGGAUAUUUUGGAAGGAAACUCUACACUGCUGGAGCAGCUGAGAAAAGCCAUCCUGUAAGGGUCCUGUGUGAAAUGCUGCACAGACAGCCAUGGCAAGAGAGCAAAGCUUGGGAAACCACAGCACUGGAAUAACUAGGGGGAACUUCAGCAUGCCACAGUGUGAUGGAUAAGCAUCCAAACCUCAGACAAACCUGAAGCAAGGGAGCACUCCUACCACUAAUGAAGACACAUUGUCACUGGGCUGGCUUCAAAGACCAUUAAAAUUUCUGAGUGGUUCCAAUGGGGACCAGAACAACUCUUUUCCUGAAGAAAUAGAAGCAUGCAUUAACCUUAAUUGGGAACAGUCUCCACGAGGAUUUUCCCUCUGAGGAAAAGGAGCAUUUUGCAGAUAUAAUUGUUUUGGAGGGAGUAAUUAUUCCGUGGAUGCUUCCUGAGGUGAAUGAUGGCUCAUGUUAUGUUUUACCCCCUGAAAUUGGAAGAGCUGUGAGAGCCUUGUCAAAGACCAGUGGCAUUACCUGGCAAGCAGGGGCUGGGCUGCUGUUCCAGCACAGACACACACCAGUAGGAGGAACAUUUGUACAGUUUGGCUGAAUAUUCCUCUAUUAUUCUUUACCCUGCAGCACAACACAGUUUGCAGCAAUUGAUUGACUUAGCUGGACAGUGAGAUAAAAAACUACAAGUAAGGCAGUGUGGGAGCUGUUCUUCUGCUGUGAGAAGAUGUAAAGCAGCCCCAGCCAGAGCCGUGUUUUGCCUGGGGUCAGAUCAACAGAACACAGAUCCUGGGGUUUCUGAGUGUUAAUUUUCACUCAAUUUCAGGAAGGCUGGAAAUCAUCACCCUAAAAAAACCUUUCAAGUGAUGGGACAUGAGGAUAGUGGGAGCCACUUUUUCCUCCUGAUCAGGGAGAUGAUGUGCAGUAGGGAGAGGCUGACUAAGGAAAGAAAGAGGAAUGUAAAUCAAAGCAGAGAUGGGACAGACAGAAUCAGGCAAAACAUAGCAGAGUGGAAGACCCCCAGAAAGAGUUCUCUUCUGCACAUUGCUCUGUGGUCAAGUCUUGAUUGCAGUUUCAAGCAAAGGGUGUGAAAUCCUAAAGGUGCCUCCCCAUCUCUUGGUGGGGAAAGCCUCAACAAGGAGUGGGUCAGGGCUGAUCUGCACAACCCACCCCUCCUGAAAGAGUUACUGUGAGAUGUGGUGGAGGAAAAAGACAUUUGAAAUGAGAAAAUAAUUUUGUAUAGAAUUUGCAGCAAAGUUUUCUUUCAUCAUUUCCCUCUUUUCUGCCCCAGCUUUCCUCUUUCACCAGCUCUUGGCAGAGAUAUUUGGGUUGAAUAGGGGGCUGCUGUUGAGGAACUGUGCUUUCAGCACUGCAAUAAAGCAGUCCUACCCCAAUGAAU
This is a long non-coding RNA of Serinus canaria (Common canary), 1856 nucleotides long. RefSeq lists it as uncharacterized. The record is from RefSeq and is a predicted model, not a curated record. The transcript has 6 exons. Lineage: Eukaryota; Metazoa; Chordata; Aves; Passeriformes; Fringillidae.